GUCCCAGCCGUAAACGAUGCUCACCAGGUGUGGGAGGUAUCGACCCCUUCCGCGCCGACGCUAACGCAUUAAGUGAGCCGCCUGGGGAGUACGGCCGCAAGGUUGAAACUCAAAGGAAUUGACGGGGGCCCGCACAAGCGGUGGAUCAUGUGGUUUAAUUCGACGCAACGCGAAGAACCUUACCUGGGCUUGAACCGCUGGUAGUAGAAUCCUGGAAACAGGAGACGAACCGUCAAGUCGGAUGCCAGUAGAGGUGCUGCAUGGCUGUCGU
This 271-nucleotide ribosomal RNA is filed under the name uncultured bacterium. RNAcentral's name for it is "partial 16S ribosomal RNA". It matches the Rfam family "Bacterial small subunit ribosomal RNA", at positions 793 to 1055 of the family's 1533-position model. The record is from RNAcentral.